AUUAUUAUUCUCGCUAUUCUAAGGAAUGGGCGGGUUAGCUAGUGCGUAAAUAGAAUUCACUAAACCCGCCGCAAAGGCGGGUUUU
RNAcentral lists this small RNA (85 nucleotides) under Alteromonas sp. Its description in RNAcentral is "sRNA P9". It matches the Rfam family "Pseudomonas sRNA P9". From Rfam's summary of the family: P9 appears to be conserved in several Pseudomonas species in addition to Bordetella spp. In both Pseudomonas and Bordetella spp P9 appears to be located upstream of a predicted threonine dehydratase gene. P9 has a predicted Rho independent terminator at the 3' end but the function of P9 is unknown. RNAcentral also lists the same sequence under 5 other names. The record is from RNAcentral. Lineage: Bacteria; Pseudomonadati; Pseudomonadota; Gammaproteobacteria; Alteromonadales; Alteromonadaceae.